GGCAAAUGCAGAAAGAUUUUUACAAAAUAGCAAAGUUUCCACGGGUGCUAGCUGCUGUAGACUGCACGCAUGUGAAAAUUCAAUCUCCAGGUGGUGACGACGCAGAAUUGUUCCGGAAUCGAAAAGGCUACUUUUCGAUAAAUGUACAAACGCUUUGUGACAGCAAAUUAAACAUUUUGGAUAUUGUAGCCCGUUGGCCAGGUUCGUCGCAUGACGCACAUAUACUAAGGAACUCGCGGAUAUUUAGCAAAUUUGAGGGAGGAGAAUUCGGGAAUGCUCUGGUCGUUGCCGAUGGCGGUUACCCUUGCAAUGGGUGGAUAAUGACUCCCUUGUUGAAGGUAGAAACUCAAGCUGAAGCAUUAUAUAAUGAGUCUCAAAUACGGACCCGCAAUUGUAUUGAG
This 401-nucleotide unclassified non-coding RNA is filed under the name Rhagoletis pomonella (apple maggot). RNAcentral's name for it is "putative nuclease HARBI1, transcript variant X1". Lineage: Eukaryota; Metazoa; Arthropoda; Insecta; Diptera; Tephritidae. The record is from RNAcentral.